This 342-nucleotide ribosomal RNA is filed under the name Parmotrema austrosinense. Its description in RNAcentral is "eukaryotic LSU rRNA". It matches the Rfam family "Eukaryotic large subunit ribosomal RNA", at positions 74 to 413 of the family's 3401-position model. Lineage: Eukaryota; Fungi; Ascomycota; Lecanoromycetes; Lecanorales; Parmeliaceae. The record is from RNAcentral.
AUUGCCUCAGUAACGGCGAGUGAAGCGGCAACAGCUCAAAUUUGAAAUCUGGCUCCUUCGGGGUCCGAGUUGUAAUUUGUAGAGAGUGCUUCGGGGGAGACCGCGGUCUAAGUCCGUUGGAACAUGGUGUCAUAGAGGGUGAGAAUCCCGUAUGUGACCGCGGCUCGAACCCAUGUGAAGCCUCUUCGACGAGUCGAGUUGUUUGGGAAUGCAGCUCAAAAUGGGUGGUAAAUUUCAUCUAAAGCUAAAUACUGGCUGGAGACCGAUAGCGCACAAGUAGAGUGAUCGAAAGAUGAAAAGCACUUUGGAAAGAGAGUUAAACAGUACGUGAAAUUGUUGAAA